UGGGGAAUAUUGGACAAUGGGCGCAAGCCUGAUCCAGCCAUGCCGCGUGUGUGAAGAAGGCCCUAGGGUUGUAAAGCACUUUCAGUGGGGAGAAAGGUUAUUCACCUAAUACGUGAGUAAAUUGAUGCUACCCACAGAAGAAGCACCGGCUAACUCCGUGCCAGCAGCCGCGGUAAUACGGAGGGUGCAAGCGUUAAUCGGAAUUACUGGGCGUAAAGCGCACGUAGGUGGUUUGUUAAGCUAGCUGUGAAAUCCCCGGGCUCAACCUGGGCACUGCAGUUAGAACUGGCAAGCUAGAGUAGGGUAGAGGGGUGUGGAAUUCCAGGUGUAGCGGUGAAAUGCGUAGAUAUCUGGAGGAACAUCAGUGGCGAAGGCGACACCCUGGACUCAUACUGACACUGAGGUGCGAAAGCGUGGGGAGCAAACAGG
This 429-nucleotide ribosomal RNA is filed under the name Acidobacteriota bacterium. Its description in RNAcentral is "Acidobacteria bacterium partial 16S ribosomal RNA". It matches the Rfam family "Bacterial small subunit ribosomal RNA", at positions 355 to 776 of the family's 1533-position model. Lineage: Bacteria; Pseudomonadati; Acidobacteriota. The record is from RNAcentral.